UGGGGAAUUUUGGACAAUGGGCGAAAGCCUGAUCCAGCAAUGCCGCGUGUGUGAAGAAGGCCUUCGGGUUGUAAAGCACUUUUGUCCGGAAAGAAAUCCUUGGCUCUAAUACAGUCGGGGGAUGACGGUACCGGAAGAAUAAGCACCGGCUAACUACGUGCCAGCAGCCGCGGUAAUACGUAGGGUGCAAGCGUUAAUCGGAAUUACUGGGCGUAAAGCGUGCGCAGGCGGUUUGCUAAGACCGAUGUGAAAUCCCCGGGCUCAACCUGGGAACUGCAUUGGUGACUGGCAGGCUAGAGUAUGGCAGAGGGGGUAGAAUUCCACGUGUAGCAGUGAAAUGCGUAGAGAUGUGGAGGAAUACCGAUGGCGAAGGCAGCCCCCUGGGCCAAUACUGACGCUCAUGCACGAAAGCGUGGGGAGCAAACAGGAUUAGAUACCCUGGUAGUCCACGCCCUAAACGAUGUCAACUAGUUGUUGGGGAUUCAUUUCCUUAGUAACGUAGCUAACGCGUGAAGUUGACCGCCUGGGGAGUACGGUCGCAAGAUUAAAACUCAAAUGAAUUGACGGGGUCAUAGCUG
Molecule: ribosomal RNA, 578 nt
Filed under: uncultured bacterium
Lineage: Bacteria
Description: partial 16S ribosomal RNA
Rfam family: Bacterial small subunit ribosomal RNA
Source: RNAcentral